GCUGGGAUGGAGCGCGCCUUGGCCCGCUGGCCGUGGCUGCAGCUCCUCGGGAGCGCCGGGGCGCCCACGCGAGAACCCCGCUUGGGUCUCUUCCGGGAUGACAUCAUCAGUUCACCUCCUUGUCUUCAAGGACCACCUCUGGAAUGCCAAGCUGCUGCCAAGGGAUUUGCUGCUCAUCUCCACCUUAUGAGGGCAACUCGGAGCACGGAUCCCAGGAUCCCAUCAGCCCACAGAGCAGCCACGGGCGGACCCCCAGGACCAAGACAGUGAAGGAUGAUCAGGACCAGAGCUCACCCACCUGCUGCCCCUCUUGGCUAAAUGCUUAAACCAAUGCCCUAGUGAGGGGGCACUGGUCGUUAACCCCUGACCUUUGCUGUGCCUUGAUGCUUGGAUGUUUUCCUGUGUCUUUGCUUGCUUUAACGUGCCAGCGAACUGGAGUGUUUCCCUGCCCAAGGGGGUGUCAAUCUUUGCCAACUGACCCUGUUGUUACCCUUAGAAUGCCCUAGAGGGAAGGACCCCUUUGGGAACUUCUCAAGAGUGGGACCUGGGCCAAUAGCUUGACCAGCAUCUUGCUGGCAAUUCCAGGGCCCCGCUGGGCUUCUGGAAUGAGCAUGAGUCCUGACGCCGUGCUGCUGAACCUCCAAGGGCGAGCCCUACCUCUCCAAGUCCUCCUAUCCUUAUCUGGGGGGUGAUAGGAGUGACCUCCCGGGGUUGUUGUGAGAAUUAAAUGAUGCAAAACAGCCUCAGGCAGGGCAGGCAGAGAAGAAAAAGCCAGCAGCAAAUGCUUGUUAAAAAGGUUUGGCAGCUCAGCGGUUCCUGCCCGCUCACUUGUCUUAUUUAUUCUCCAGCAGCAUUCCAGCCACCCCUGUCCACACCUGGCACCAGGUAGGGGUCCACUGAGAUGGGCAUGGGGCUGGCUUGGGUAGGACUUCGAGUCCUGCAGGUGGUCUUUUCCGGAGCACUUUCUCAAGUGGCAGCCUUGUUUAUCUAGGAGGAUGAGUUUGGUAUUGACUUGUACAAUUCUUAAAGGGUGGGUGGGGAAGAGGAGCCCACCUCAUGGGGCCAGCUUUAUCCACAUUUACCGUAAAGAAGCUGAAGCUGAAGCAGUAUAAGUACUUUGUCACAUUGCUGGCAAGAGAAGGGGUCAGGUUGGACCCUGGGUGCCGUUGUAGCUGCCCCUCAGUGCCCUGUUGCCCCCUCCCCGGGAGUCACACUGAGGGAAAUUUUAUUUCAAAUCAGUCCUUUGACAGUGGGACAGUCUGUUUGAAAUCCUAGCUGCCCAGGGUGGUCUUGGGGGUCUGGGUGGCCCUAAUGCAGAUAGCACGUGCUGGCUUCACCUCUUAAUAGCGAUGUGACCUUAAACAAGUUGCUUAACUUCUCUGAGUUUCAGUUCCUUUAGUGGUCUAAAUGGGGAUUAGAAAAAUAAAAGCAACAAACAAACAAACAAACAACAAAAAACCCACGUUUAUCUACGCUUUUGAAGACCAAACUAUGUAACUGCUCCGAAAGUGCUUUGUAAAUGACCGUGGAAAUUGCUAGAUAUUUAACAGCCUGAGGCUGUCUCUCAUUGGUGUCCAGCCCUGUCCUCCCUGCAGUAAUAAUAACCAGCACCUAUUAGGUGCUGUGUGUGUUUGUGCCUAAUAAAUCAACUCCAGGAUAAAUAAAAACAAUUAAUUCAGCCAACCUUUUCUGGCGCGCUGACAAUAUGUGUGGCGCAGCAAGCUAGGUACGUGCCCCAAAGAUGAAGAAAACAGUCCCUUGGAAGCUAAUUGGGGUCCUCAUUUGACCAGCACUUUUCUUUCGUCCCCUUUUAAGCCAACCAGUUUUGUCCAGACGAGACAAAAAGAGCUCAGGCCAGCUUUAGAGCAGCACAGCUUGCUGGAGACAAUAGCCCCUGGGCAUCUGAAAGGGGCUGAUUGGAUUAAGUGGCAAAUUAAGGUGGAAGGAUGACUUGGAAGGUGACAAAUGAAGUGGGCGGAGAUCUGCUUUGAGUUAAUCCAGGCUAUUAGGAGGGGACCUUUUGUCUCCCCUAGCUUGGCAGGAGCGUUUACCACUGGUUUUACAUCCUUAAUGUUCAGGACAAAUAAUUUAUGGCCAGUGAAAUUCCCGGCCCCAGAGAGAGUCGAGUGGGCUGUAAAAUUGAGUGCUACCCAUGAAUAAGCAGUGAGUAAUCAGAGCCAACAGGGUUCCUCCCAGAGCAGUUUGCAAAACCCUUUUGCAUCCAUCAAUUCAUUUGAUCCUCACAACACCCCGUCCUGGCUCAGACCGGCCUGCCACCACCCUGGGAAACUGAGGCCAUCAAGGGCUCUUCCUACUGGGUUCUCAUCAUGCAUUUGCACCCCUCCUUUGCCUCUUAAGUUUUAGGAAAGAGGUGUCCCCUGUGCCGUCUCCUGCUGUCUCUGACCUUCAGUGAUUCCCUCUGAAUUUCGAGCUCUGCUCUUUCCACCAGCUCGACACAGGGUUGAGCCUUCCCGGGUCUGUCUGUCCUCAACAUGGUCCUUUCUAGCCACUACCGUCUCUCUCUUUCCUUUCACAGCCCAGCUUCUCGAAAGGCCUGUCUCCACUUGCUGCCUUCACUUCUUCACCUCCAAUUUCCUCUUCAACCCACUGCUCUUGACUUCUCUCCUCCGCCUAAUGGCUCAUGAAGGUAAUGUCUUUUCUGAAGCUUAACGCCUCGACACAUUUCCGGCGCAUGGACACAUGACACAUGACACAUUUCUAUUCUUUCCAUGGCUGUUUGGCACUAGUUCACUUCUGCUGACACACGGUUCCCAUUGGCUUCAUGGAGGCGCAGCUCCCAGCUUCCCUCGUUCCUAGUAUCCCCCAGGAUCUCCUAUACCCAGGUCUGUUGACUUCUGGAACCUGCUUCUUGCCACCUUAUCUUGCUGCCUGAAGCACUCUAGAGUAGAACUGACCUGGGUUCGAGUCCUGGCUAAACUUGCACUCAGGCCUUGGGUUAGGUUAGCCUUUCUAAACCAUUCUUUUCUCAGUUGCAAAAUGGGGUUAAUAACUUUUACCUGGCAGGUCAGGUGGGCUAUCCUACAGGUUACUCUUGGCACUAUUUGAAGGGCUUGAUACAAUGUAAAUAAAGUACUCACAAAAAAAUAUAAUUGGAGUCAAGAUAGAUUUUCUUAUGUUCAGUUCCAAUGAGUAAGACCAAAGCGGAGGGGCAAGAAGGAAAAAAUGGGGAAAGAAAUAAGGAAGGAAUUGGGAAAAGAAAAAAAGUAUUAAAGGCAAAAAAAGAAAAUAGGAAAGGGAGACUUAUAAGACAUUAAAAUUGACCCCAAAAAUGUGUCCAGCGAAAGAUUUUCUCUUGUGUCAGGCUGGGCUAAAAGAAAUGAAACAGGAAGAAGGUUUUAAAUUGAUUAAGCCCUAGGACAAAUGCCAGGAAGCUUUCAAAUCGAAGGUCCCUGGUUGUUUUUUUUUUUUUUUUUUUUUUGAGUUUUUAACUCCAUCCCUCAACUUUUUCCUUUUUACCUCCUGCAUCCUGGUGAACCCUGCUCCCUCUCCCCCACGCCCUCCGUUGGUGAUUAAAUCCCCGAAGGUACACGGAGUAUUCAGUGAAUGAAUGGCCCACAAAACAGCCUUCCCCUCCCCUGGCCGUGUUAGUCUGUUUUAUUCCACUGUCUGCCGCCUUUUUCCCUUAAUGAACACAAGGCUAAUCUCAGGGCUUGUCGGCGGGAAGAGGCUGCGUACAUUAACGAGGUAGCUGCUGGAUUCCAAUAUUCAUCUCAUAAGGAGCCUUCUUUGUCCAUGGAGGAAAAGUACACUGAUUAUCAUAAUGAGGUGAUCUGGUGUCCAUAGGGCAGGGGCCACGCAGCUUCUGAAGCCACACGGCUCAUUUGGGGCCAGAGUUGAUAAUUUCAUCAGCUUCUCAUUUAAGUCUGCCUCAGCAGCUGUUCAUGGUUGCUCUGAGCCCGGGUUUGGGGCUGAAGCAGCUGCAAAUGGGACGGCUCUAGAGGAGGUGUCUUUCUUUGACCCUGCGAAAAAAACCAAACCAAACCCGCUGCCGUCGAGUCAAUUCUGACUCAUAGCGACCCUAUAGGACAGAGUAGCACUGCCCCAUAGAGUUUCCAAGGAGCGCCUGGUGGAUUCAAACCGCUGACCUUUUGGUUAGCAGCCGUAGCACUUAACCACUACGCCACCAGGGUUUCCUUUGAGCCCACCAAAAAAAAAAAAAAAAAAACCAAACCCAGUGCCGAUGAGUCGAUUCCGACUCAUAGCGACCUAUAGGACAGAGUAGAACUGCCCCGUAGAGUUUCCAAGGAGCGCCUGGCGGAUUUGAACUGCUGACCCUUCGGCUAGCAACUGUAGCACUUAACCACUGCGCCACCAGGGUUUGAUCCCACACGUAGUUGCAAUUGGCCAGGGCCAUCUCACCGGGCUGUCCCAGAGCAGGGGAACAGGGUAUUCCCUCACCGGACUCGUCUCAGGACCCCCUGAGAGCAUUAGAAAAAAUUCUUAAGAAUUACCAAGUGACAGAACAGGGCCAGGUCAUAGACGUGCAGUUCAUGGAAGGGUCCCAUAGUGAAGACGCCAGGUGGAGACAAGGACAAAAUGUCACAGCUCAUCAUGGUGGCCUGUUUGGUCGCUGGGUAGGAGUUUACUUUAGAGGUGUCACCACCUCUCCGAGGAGAAUAGAUCUCCUGCGUAGAUGAAAUUUGGAGGGGCCGUGGUGGUUCAGUGGUAGAAUUCUCACUUUUUAUGCAGGAGACCUGGGUUUGAUUCUGGGCCAAUAUGCACCUCACGUGUGGCCACCACCCAUCUGUCGCUGGAGACUUGGGUGUUGCUAUGAUGCUGAAUAGGUUUCAGCGGAGCUUCCAGACUAAGAUGGGCUAGGAAGAAAGGCCUGAUGGUCUCCUUCCAAAAAUCAGCCAGUGAGAACCCUGUGGAUCACAACAAUCCACAACCAAUCGUGGGGAUGGUGGAGGACUGGGCAGCUUUUUGUUCCACUGUGCGUGGGGUUAUCACGGGUCGUGGGCCAACUCCCUUAGGUAGCCUGAAGCAACGUAGAUGGAACUGAAACUCCGAGAGGGCAAGGGAUUUGCCAAGAUUGCUCAGCAAGUCAGGUGUCAAGAGUGGAGAUGAAAGCUUACUUCAGAACCUGUAGUCCCAAGGUUUACCACCGGAUAACCCCUCCCCACUUUGUGCUGUGCCUGGCUUAUCUCCCUGAAAUUCCCCCUGUUCCAGCCUGGGCACUGAAUGCCCUGGAACCCUUUAAUAAUUUUGGAGUGGGCAUGUCCUGCGUCUGAAACUUGAGGGCGUUUGUCCUGAGUUCGAAAUGUUUCUCACCCCAAGGCAGAUCAAUCAAGAUUAGAUCACUCCAGUUUAAACUCCAGAUCUUCUGGCCAAGAGAAGAGAAUUGAGGGAGACCAGAGGUGGCUGGAGCAAGCAAACUUUAUUAGUUGAAAACUUAGGCGGCUUCCCUCCGUUAAUGAGUCUGUUGGCUGAGGAUUCUCUGGCAUCGUGGGUUGGAAUUGGAUGCCCCUUUCAAGUUAGCGCCAACGACUAGCCCAGCACCUCGAUAAAGAGGAUGCAAAGGGAUGUUCAAUUGGGUGGGUUGGGGUGAGAGCCACCCUGUCGGGUGAAGUCCUUUCAAAUGAUCAAAAUUAGAUGUAUGAGCCUAGGGGGCUGAGACAAGAAUGGUAGACCCCCCCAAACCUCCCCCUCUCCUGCAUGGAGUUAUUGGAGAGUAAAAUCAUGCGGGUGUUUUUGAUGUUUUCAAACUUAUUUUAAGGGUAAAAAUUGCACAUGCGUCCCUCUCCCCAAUAGACUAUCAAUCAUUAAAAACCAGUUGCCAAAGCCACUGUUAGUAGAGAAUCCCCUGUGGGCAUUUGAGACUGGGGUGGCAGACCUCAGUAGAUCUACCCAGUUCCUGGGUCUUGGGAUCUUAUGCUCAUUUGUGGCUCUUCUGCCACCUGAGGCUUUCAGAGCCCCUCAUGCUGCCUCUGACAUGGCAGACACUCCCCAGGGUGACUUCCACACCAAAUGAAACUCUGAGCUCUAGCCAGGCCUGCAGCCCAAUGCAAGAAGCCCACUCCUGCCUGGGUUUCUGGAAACCAGUCUUAAACGUUACUGAGGCCACCAGGAGAGGGCCUUGAGUUUAUUGACUCCCUUGUGUGGGUGGUCGUUAGAGCCCUCAAGGGUGUGUGUGCACCCCAAAUGGAUGCAGUUCUUAGCUGCUUUGUACAUAGGGCCUCUGCACCCCACUUUUCUAGCUGGGGGUGAGGUGGGCUUGCUGUGCUGAGCCCCAACCCCAAAGCCUACUGAAGUCCUUCCUGGAGGGUUGGGAGAAGAUGGGGAGACAGGGCUUAAACCAGAUGGAAGCCGGAACGAGCAAGGCCAGGAAGUGGUGCUCCCCCCACUCCUCUCACUUACUUUUCUGCUUUUACUCCUGCGCCUCUGUUCCAGCACCUCCCUUCCUCCUCUUCUCUCCCUUCUCUGGCCCCUCUCCCCCAUUUUUUCUGUCUGUCUCAUCUCUCCCUCUCUCUGCUCUAGCUCUCUAAGCUCUCUUCCCUUCUUCCUCCUUCCUCUCUUCUCCCUCCGUCUCUGUCUCCUGUUCUCUCUGUCUCCUGUUCGCUGUGUCUUUCCCUCUCCUGUUGUCUUUCUUUGCUCCCCCUCUCUGUCUCUUCUGUUCUCCCUCCCCCCCCAUUUUCUAACCUGGCUGGGAACCUCCUGGGGUGCCCUAGGCCAGCCCCGCCCCUCUGCUGAGUGUCCCAGACACCAGGCCUGGCACAAAAGGGGCUCAGCGAGAGUAUGUGGGACGUCUGUUUGGACGGGCGAGUCAAUGAGGAGGCCCGGCGGCGAUUCCAGUAGCUGGGCACCAGCGGCUUCAGGGCAGGAGGGCAGAGGCGGGUUUUGUGUUAGUCAGCAGAGGAGUGGGCAAGGCUGGGCAGGGCAGGGCUCCGCUGGCCGUGCCCUCUGUUCACCCGCUGGCCCAUCCUGUCGUCCAACAGUGGAUCCUCGCUGAGCAGGCCCACGGGCCCGGCCCUGGCUGGGCACCGCCAUGCUAGUGUGCCCCCGAUGGCCUCUGAGUCCGAUGGGAGGGCAGGGGGGGUCACUCCUGCUGGGGGUGACCUCAGA
This is a long non-coding RNA of Loxodonta africana (African savanna elephant), 7083 nucleotides long. RefSeq lists it as uncharacterized. The record is from RefSeq and is a predicted model, not a curated record. The transcript has 3 exons. NCBI's taxonomy places the organism in Eukaryota, Metazoa, Chordata, Mammalia, Proboscidea, Elephantidae.